Molecule: ribosomal RNA, 679 nt
Filed under: Flavobacterium sp. 852
Lineage: Bacteria; Pseudomonadati; Bacteroidota; Flavobacteriia; Flavobacteriales; Flavobacteriaceae
Description: bacterial SSU rRNA
Rfam family: Bacterial small subunit ribosomal RNA
Source: RNAcentral
ACUGCUAAACUUGAAUUAUUAGGAAGUAACUAGAAUAUGUAGUGUAGCGGUGAAAUGCUUAGAGAUUACAUGGAAUACCAAUUGCGAAGGCAGGUUACUACUAAUGGAUUGACGCUGAUGGACGAAAGCGUGGGUAGCGAACAGGAUUAGAUACCCUGGUAGUCCACGCCGUAAACGAUGGAUACUAGCUGUUGGAAGCAAUUUCAGUGGCUAAGCGAAAGUGAUAAGUAUCCCACCUGGGGAGUACGUUCGCAAGAAUGAAACUCAAAGGAAUUGACGGGGGCCCGCACAAGCGGUGGAGCAUGUGGUUUAAUUCGAUGAUACGCGAGGAACCUUACCAAGGCUUAAAUGUAGUUUGACCGAUUUGGAAACAGAUCUUUCGCAAGACAAAUUACAAGGUGCUGCAUGGUUGUCGUCAGCUCGUGCCGUGAGGUGUCAGGUUAAGUCCUAUAACGAGCGCAACCCCUGUUGUUAGUUGCCAGCGAGUCAUGUCGGGAACUCUAACAAGACUGCCAGUGCAAACUGUGAGGAAGGUGGGGAUGACGUCAAAUCAUCACGGCCCUUACGCCUUGGGCUACACACGUGCUACAAUGGCCGGUACAGAGAGCAGCCACUGGGCGACCAGGAGCGAAUCUAUAAAACCGGUCACAGUUCGGAUCGGAGUCUGCAACUCGACUCC